This 419-nucleotide ribosomal RNA is filed under the name Theileria sp. RNAcentral describes it as "SSU rRNA". It matches the Rfam family "Eukaryotic small subunit ribosomal RNA", at positions 461 to 920 of the family's 1831-position model. Lineage: Eukaryota; Apicomplexa; Aconoidasida; Piroplasmida; Theileriidae. The record is from RNAcentral.
GAGGUAGUGACAAGAAAUAACAAUACGGGGCUUAAUGUCUUGUAAUUGGAAUGAUGGGAAUUUAAACCUCUUCCAGAGUAUCAAUUGGAGGGCAAGUCUGGUGCCAGCAGCCGCGGUAAUUCCAGCUCCAAUAGCGUAUAUUAAAAUUGUUGCAGUUAAAAAGCUCGUAGUUGAAUUUCUGCUGCAUUUCAUUUCUCUUUCUGAGUUUGUUUUUGCGGCUUAUUUCGGUUUGAUUUUUUCUUUCCGGAUGAUUACUUUGAGAAAAUUAGAGUGCUCAAAGCAGGCUUUUGCCUUGAAUAGUUUAGCAUGGAAUAAUAAAGUAGGACUUUGGUUCUAUUUUGUUGGUUUUAGGUACCAAAGUAAUGGUUAAUAGGAACUAGUUGGGGGUAUUCGUAUUUAACUGUCAGAGGUGAAAUUCU